This 158-nucleotide small RNA is filed under the name Bradyrhizobium sp. LTSP885. Its description in RNAcentral is "Bradyrhizobiaceae sRNA BjrC80". It matches the Rfam family "Bradyrhizobiaceae sRNA BjrC80". The record is from Rfam by way of RNAcentral. Lineage: Bacteria; Pseudomonadati; Pseudomonadota; Alphaproteobacteria; Hyphomicrobiales; Nitrobacteraceae.
AGUUGGGAAGUGUCGCCGGCAUUAGUCGCCCCCGCCGACGGCGCUUUCCGGGGGGCGAGCGCCUUGCUCGCUCCCUUUGGUACCUUUCGAUGGAAUACGCCCCCCUCCGUCGGAAGGGCUAAGGGCGGUGAGGUUCCCCAGCUUCACCGCCCGCUUUU